Molecule: long non-coding RNA, 1123 nt
Organism: Ylistrum balloti
Lineage: Eukaryota; Metazoa; Mollusca; Bivalvia; Pectinida; Pectinidae
Exons: 3
Source: RefSeq, a predicted model, not a curated record
ACCGACCGGCAUUAUGUUGAAAUUUUUGUUAACAUUUGCCACUGGGCUCUAUGCUGGAAUAUACAUUGACCAGAAUUACAAGUUGCCCAAUGUGUCUGACCCCAAAAGUCUUUAUGAAGAAGUAAUGAAGAUGAUUCAAAAAUUUGAGAAAGGUGACAAGGGAGACAAGUAGAAGAAAAGGAUAUGAUAUAGACAACACAUCAACAUUCCCUACCAAAUCAGACUGAGCUUUGUGUUUGUGUUUUACCAGAGAGAUUAUUUUUAUACUUUAUAUAUAUCGAACAUGGCAGGUUUGAUGAAGACUAGUACAGUUAACACAUUGGACUCAAAGGUUUCUUGUAAGUCACACAUUUUCUGUCAAGGACUUGAAGGUCUGCAAUGAGUACCUUCAUACUGAUUUACAUGUAAAUGUGACACAACAUGGCAAUAAGUGAAAGUUGCUGUAAAUGACAUAUCACACCAACAACUGACAGAGUUAAUGUGUAUUGAACUAGUGUAUGCAGCAUUUUGUAAAUGUGAGUUGUUUAUGUAUUUAUUUUCAAAGAUAUGUUUUUUUCCUUUUUCUGGUAUGAAAUAUAUAGAUUGAAUGAUCUGCAUACCAAUAUAUCUUAACAGCUGUACGGCAAAAGGUCAAAUUUAAUCAGUUUUGGCCAGGAAUAAAUGAAAAUUUGUCAUUUAUGUAUGCUGAAGACAUUUUUAUUUUUUGUAUGGGUGAGGUUGACUAGUUGCUAAAGACAUGUAUGCUGUUACCUUACACUGUGGAAUGAGAACCCAGACCGAUUCAUCUGUAAAUCAUUUAGCCUAGUAAGUCAUCAAAAUUCAAAGGGAAAAGAAAUGGUCAAGCAAUGGUUAACAAUUUAUAUAGAAUUAAUGAUCCGACAGAAUAUGAUCAUAUGAUAGAAAGAUAUUAUUAUUUGCAUAAUAUAACAAGAAAUGAAUACCACAAAGCUGUUCAUAUGUCAUAUUUAAAAACUGAUGGAAAUUGUAACAACAAAAUUUAAAUAUGCGAAUAUGUAUCAGUAUAAAAUGAAUGCAUCUUUUAUGGAUAGAUGGCUAUCUUCAUUUAAUACUUGUUGCAUGUGUAGCUCUUUGAUGAAAAUGUAAAUAAAAACUUAACACAAAA